This 800-nucleotide ribosomal RNA is filed under the name Staphylococcus succinus. RNAcentral describes it as "bacterial SSU rRNA". It matches the Rfam family "Bacterial small subunit ribosomal RNA", at positions 30 to 817 of the family's 1533-position model. Lineage: Bacteria; Bacillati; Bacillota; Bacilli; Caryophanales; Staphylococcaceae. The record is from RNAcentral.
GGAAUGGCGGCGUGCUAUACAUGCAAGUCGAGCGAACGGAUAAGGAGCUUGCUCCUUUGAAGUUAGCGGCGGACGGGUGAGUAACACGUGGGUAACCUACCUAUAAGACUGGAAUAACUUCGGGAAACCGGAGCUAAUGCCGGAUAACAUAUAGAACCGCAUGGUUCUAUAGUGAAAGAUGGUUUUGCUAUCACUUAUAGAUGGACCCGCGCCGUAUUAGCUAGUUGGUAAGGUAAUGGCUUACCAAGGCGACGAUACGUAGCCGACCUGAGAGGGUGAUCGGCCACACUGGAACUGAGACACGGUCCAGACUCCUACGGGAGGCAGCAGUAGGGAAUCUUCCGCAAUGGGCGAAAGCCUGACGGAGCAACGCCGCGUGAGUGAUGAAGGUUUUCGGAUCGUAAAACUCUGUUAUUAGGGAAGAACAAAUGCGUAAGUAACUGUGCGCAUCUUGACGGUACCUAAUCAGAAAGCCACGGCUAACUACGUGCCAGCAGCCGCGGUAAUACGUAGGUGGCAAGCGUUAUCCGGAAUUAUUGGGCGUAAAGCGCGCGUAGGCGGUUUCUUAAGUCUGAUGUGAAAGCCCACGGCUCAACCGUGGAGGGUCAUUGGAAACUGGGAAACUUGAGUGCAGAAGAGGAAAGUGGAAUUCCAUGUGUAGCGGUGAAAUGCGCAGAGAUAUGGAGGAACACCAGUGGCGAAGGCGACUUUCUGGUCUGUAACUGACGCUGAUGUGCGAAAGCGUGGGGAUCAAACAGGAUUAGAUACCCUGGUAGUCCACGCCGUAAACGAUGAGUGCU